This is a long non-coding RNA of Dreissena polymorpha, 413 nucleotides long. RefSeq lists it as uncharacterized. NCBI's taxonomy places the organism in Eukaryota, Metazoa, Mollusca, Bivalvia, Myida, Dreissenidae. The transcript has 3 exons. The record is from RefSeq and is a predicted model, not a curated record.
UAGGUUGGAGACUACAUAAGACUUUGACAGUUGGCGGGAAACCAUCAUCAACUGGAGAGAUGCCGGAAGAGGAAUGUCUGCGACUAAGUCAAGGGCCACUGGAUAAGGGUUGUUGAUGGCAAAACAGGUUGGAGACUACAUAAGACUUUGACAGUUGGCGGGAAACCAUCAUCAACUGGAGAGAUGCCGGUAAAAAGAUGGCCAUAAAACAGUGACCGCUGAUUCGCAUUGAGUUCUUUCUUACAUAUUGGAUGACCUAUGUUUUUUAUUGUUUAAAUCAUUGCGGCUUGGAAUGCUCUUUAAGAAAAGGUAUGGUUAUGGGGGUGUCUACGCGCAAAAGUUUGACUUUAUUUUUUGUUAAAGUUAUUGCUUUUACAUUGAAUUUGUGCAGGAAAUCUUUUGGUAUGUUGUGA